GUUGUGUGCAAUGAUGACAAUUUUUUUCCCCGUCAUAUCGAUAAAUGCUGAAAAAUCUAAUAUUUUCAAGCCAGUUUCACUGAGCACACAAC
Molecule: small nucleolar RNA, 92 nt
Organism: Pomacea canaliculata
Lineage: Eukaryota; Metazoa; Mollusca; Gastropoda; Architaenioglossa; Ampullariidae
Product: small nucleolar SNORD12/SNORD106
Exons: 1
Source: RefSeq, a predicted model, not a curated record